GACGGACGCUGGCGGCGUGCUUAACACAUGCAAGUCGAGCGGUAAGGCCCUUUCGGGGGUACACGAGCGGCGAACAGGUGAGUAACACGUGGGUGACCUGCCCUUAGCUCUGGGAUAAGCCUGGGAAACUGGGUCUAAUACCGGAUAUGACUCCAUGACGCAUGUUGUGGGGUGGAAAGCCUUGUGCGGCUAGGGAUGGGCCCGCGGCCUAUCGGCUUGUUGGUGGGGUGANGGCCUACCAAGGCGACGACGGGUAGCCGGCCUGAGAGGGCGACCGGCCACACUGGGACUGAGACACGGCCCAGACUCCUACGGGAGGCAGCAGUGGGGAAUCUUGCGCAAUGGGCGAAAGCCUGACGCAGCGACGCCGCGUGGGGAUGACGGCCUGG
Molecule: ribosomal RNA, 389 nt
Filed under: uncultured bacterium
Lineage: Bacteria
Description: bacterial SSU rRNA
Rfam family: Bacterial small subunit ribosomal RNA
Source: RNAcentral